UGAGCAAUCUGCCCUUCUCUUUGGAAUAAGCGUCGGAAACGACGUCUAAUGCCGAAUACGACCUCCUUUCGCAUGAUCGGAGGUGGAAAGCUCCGGCGGAGAAGGAUGAGCUCGCGGCCUAUCAGCUAGUUGGUGUGGGUAAUGGCCCACCAAGGCGACGACGGGUAGCCGGCCUGAGAGGGUGACCGGCCACACUGGGACUGAGACACGGCCCAGACUCCUACGGGAGCAG
RNAcentral lists this ribosomal RNA (232 nucleotides) under uncultured bacterium. Its description in RNAcentral is "partial 16S ribosomal RNA". It matches the Rfam family "Bacterial small subunit ribosomal RNA", at positions 118 to 347 of the family's 1533-position model. The record is from RNAcentral.